AAUCAACGCUGGCGGCGUGCCUAACACAUGCAAGUCGCACGAGAAAGGGGAGCAAUCCCUGAGUAAAGUGGCGCACGGGUGAGUAACACGUGAAUCAUCUACCUCCGAGUGGGGAAUAACUGAGAGAAAUACUUAGCUAAUACCGCAUAACACUUACGAGUCAAAGCAGCAAUGCGCUUGGAGAGGAGUUCGCGGCCGAUUAGUUAGUUGGCGGGGUAAGUAGGCCCGACCAA
This 233-nucleotide ribosomal RNA is filed under the name uncultured bacterium. RNAcentral's name for it is "partial 16S ribosomal RNA". It matches the Rfam family "Bacterial small subunit ribosomal RNA", at positions 32 to 271 of the family's 1533-position model. The record is from RNAcentral.